Molecule: ribosomal RNA, 433 nt
Filed under: uncultured bacterium
Lineage: Bacteria
Description: partial 16S ribosomal RNA
Rfam family: Bacterial small subunit ribosomal RNA
Source: RNAcentral
AACGAACGCUGGCGGCAUGCCUAACACAUGCAAGUCGAACGAGACCUUCGGGUCUAGUGGCGCACGGGUGCGUAACGCGUGGGAACCUGCCCUUAGGUUCGGAAUAACUCCCCGAAAGGGGUGCUAAUACCGGAUAAUGUCUUCGGACCAAAGAUUUAUCGCCUUUGGAUGGGCCCGCGUUGGAUUAGCUAGUUGGUAGGGUAAAAGCCUACCAAGGCGACGAUCCAUAGCUGGUCUGUGAGGAUGAUCAGCCACACUGGGACUGAGACACGGCUCAGACUCCUACGGGAGGCAGCAGUGGGGAAUAUUGGACAAUGGGCGAAAGCCUGAUCCAGCAAUGCCGCGUGAGUGAUGAAGGCCUUAGGGUUGUAAAGCUCUUUUACCCGGGAUGAUAAUGACAGUACCGGGAGAAUAAGCUCCGGCUAACUCCGUG